CCUACGGGAGGCAGCAGUGGGGAAUUUUGGACAAUGGGCGCAAGCCUGAUCCAGCCAUGCCGCGUGUGGGAAGAAGGCCUUCGGGUUGUAAACCACUUCUGUCAGGGAAGAAACGGCUUUUUCUAAUACAGAGAGCUAAUGACGGUACCUGAAGAAUAAGCACCGGCUAACUACGUGCCAGCAGCCGCGGUAAUACGUAGGGUGCAAGCGUUAAUCGGAAUUACUGGGCGUAAAGCGUGCGCAGGCGGCUUUGCAAGACAGAUGUGAAAUCCCCGGGCUCAACCUGGGAACUGCAUUUGUGACUGCAUGGCUAGAGUACGGUAGAGGGGGAUGGAAUUCCGCGUGUAGCAGUGAAAUGCGUAGAUAUGCGGAGGAACACCGAUGGCGAAGGCAAUCCCCUGGACCUGUACUGACGCUCAUGCACGAAAGCGUGGGGAGCAAACAGGAUUAGAUACCCUGGUAGUCCACGCCCUAAACGAUGUCAACUGGUUGUUGGACGGCUUGCUGUUCAGUAACGAAGCUAACGCGUGAAGUUGACCGCCUGGGGAGUACGGCCGCGAAGGUUGAAACGUCAAAGGAAUUGACGG
RNAcentral lists this ribosomal RNA (587 nucleotides) under uncultured bacterium. Its description in RNAcentral is "bacterial SSU rRNA". It matches the Rfam family "Bacterial small subunit ribosomal RNA", at positions 338 to 916 of the family's 1533-position model. The record is from RNAcentral.